Molecule: small RNA, 17 nt
Filed under: Arabidopsis thaliana (thale cress)
Lineage: Eukaryota; Viridiplantae; Streptophyta; Magnoliopsida; Brassicales; Brassicaceae
Description: ATSL303290
Source: RNAcentral
AGAAAAAAGGAAAAAAA